GCUUGACUGCGAGACAGACACGUCGAGCAGGUACGAAAGUAGGUCUUAGUGAUCCGGUGGUUCUGUAUGGAAGGGCCAUCGCUCAACGGAUAAAAGGUACUCCGGGGAUAACAGGCUGAUACCGCCCAAGAGUUCAUAUCGACGGCGGUGUUUGGCACCUCGAUGUCGGCUCAUCACAUCCUGGGGCUGAAGCCGGUCCCAAGGGUAUGGCUGUUCGCCAUUUAAAGUGGUACGCGAGCUGGGUUUAGAACGUCGUGAGACAGUUCGGUCCCUAUCUGCCGUGGACGUUUGAGAUUUGAGAGGGGCUGCUCCUAGUACGAGAGGACCGGAGUGGACGAACCUCUGGUGUUCCGGUUGUCACGCCAGUGGCAUUGCCGGGUAGCUAUGUUCGGAAAAGAUAACCGCUGAAAGCAUCUAAGCGGGAAACUUGCCUCAAGAU
This 439-nucleotide ribosomal RNA is filed under the name Pseudomonas aeruginosa. RNAcentral describes it as "partial 23S ribosomal RNA". It matches the Rfam family "Bacterial large subunit ribosomal RNA", at positions 2367 to 2805 of the family's 2925-position model. The record is from RNAcentral. Lineage: Bacteria; Pseudomonadati; Pseudomonadota; Gammaproteobacteria; Pseudomonadales; Pseudomonadaceae.